AUUGAACGCUGGCGGCAUGCUUUACACAUGCAAGUCGAACGGCAGCACGGGGCAACCUGGUGGCGAGUGGCGAACGGGUGAGUAAUACAUCGGAACGUGCCCAAUCGUGGGGGAUAACGUAGCGAAAGUUACGCUAAUACCGCAUACGAUCUACGGAUGAAAGCGGGGGAUCGCAAGACCUCGCGCGAAUGGAGCGGCCGAUGUCAGAUUAGGUAGUUGGUGGGGUAAAGGCUCACCAAGCCAACGAUCUGUAGCUGGUCUGAGAGGACGACCAGCCACACUGGAACUGAGACACGGUCCAGACUCCUACGGGAGGCAGCAGUGGGAAUUUUGGACAAUGGGCGCAAGCCUGAUCCAGCCAUUCCGCGUGCAGGAUGAAGGCC
RNAcentral lists this ribosomal RNA (383 nucleotides) under uncultured bacterium. RNAcentral's name for it is "bacterial SSU rRNA". It matches the Rfam family "Bacterial small subunit ribosomal RNA", at positions 30 to 416 of the family's 1533-position model. The record is from RNAcentral.